UCCUGUUUGUGCACCGAAUCCACCGACUUCUACAUGGCUAUGCAUAUUGCGCAUAUAACUUUGCUAAACGGCUUGAUUCGAAUACGGCGUUCUGGACGACUCGAGUACCGUUAUUUUUCCGGCGAACCAACGCCGUCGUACAAGAUAUUUCAGUCUUCAGUGCAACACGGCGCACACGGAAUAUACGUCGCAUUAUUAUUGUUUUUAAACGCACAGGCCGAAAAACAAUGGGCGAAAUACAAACGACGCGGGACGGAAAAUAAUUACGAAAAUUAUGCCGACAAUAACGGCCGGAGUCGCCGUUGCUCCCCGGGACCGAAGACGCGGUUCGGCCGGAACGGGACGGCACGAGAAGAUUUUCGAUCGCACG
This is a non-coding RNA of Cinara cedri, 370 nucleotides long. Lineage: Eukaryota; Metazoa; Arthropoda; Insecta; Hemiptera; Aphididae. The record is from the annotation of a GenBank genome assembly.